GAUGAACGCUGGCGGCGUGCCUAAUACAUGCAAGUCGAGCGAACAGAUAAGGAGCUUGCUCCUUUGACGUUAGCGGCGGACGGGUGAGUAACACGUGGGUAACCUACCUAUAAGACUGGAAUAACUCCGGGAAACCGGGGCUAAUGCCGGAUAACAUUUAGAACCGCAUGGUUCUAAAGUGAAAGAUGGUUUUGCUAUCACUUAUAGAUGGACCCGCGCCGUAUUAGCUAGUUGGUAAGGUAACGGCUUACCAAGGCAACGAUACGUAGCCGACCUGAGAGGGUGAUUGGCCACACUGGAACUGAGACACGGUCCAGACUCCUACGGGAGGCAGCAGUAGGGAAUCUUCCGCAAUGGGCGAAAGCCUGACGGAGCAAUGCCGCGUGAGUGAUGAAGGUCUUCGGAUCGUAAAACUCUGUUAUUAGGGAAGAACAAAUGUGUAAGUAACUGUGCACGUCUUGACGGUACCUAAUCAGAAAGCCACGGCUAACUACGUG
RNAcentral lists this ribosomal RNA (497 nucleotides) under uncultured bacterium. Its description in RNAcentral is "partial 16S ribosomal RNA". It matches the Rfam family "Bacterial small subunit ribosomal RNA", at positions 28 to 507 of the family's 1533-position model. The record is from RNAcentral.